This 925-nucleotide ribosomal RNA is filed under the name Bryocaulon satoanum. RNAcentral describes it as "eukaryotic LSU rRNA". It matches the Rfam family "Eukaryotic large subunit ribosomal RNA", at positions 19 to 960 of the family's 3401-position model. The record is from RNAcentral. Lineage: Eukaryota; Fungi; Ascomycota; Lecanoromycetes; Lecanorales; Parmeliaceae.
GGGAUACCCGCUGAACUUAAGCAUAUCAAUAAGCGGAGGAAAAGAAACCAACAGGGAUUGCCUCAGUAACGGCGAGUGAAGCGGCAACAGCUCAAAUUUGAAAUCUGGCCCUUUUAGGGUCCGAGUUGUAAUUUGUAGAGAGUGUUUCGGGUGAGACCACGGUCUAAGUCCAUUGGAACAUGGCGUCAUAGAGGGUGAGAAUCCCGUAUGUGACUGUGGAUCGAGCCCAUGUGAAGCCUCUUCGACGAGUCGAGUUGUUUGGGAAUGCAGCUCAAAAUGGGUGGUAAAUUUCAUCUAAAGCUAAAUACUGGCUGGAGACCGAUAGCGCACAAGUAGAGUGAUCGAAAGAUGAAAAGCACUUUGGAAAGAGAGUCAAACAGUACGUGAAAUUGUUGAAAGGGAAGCGCUUGCAACCAGACCUGUCCGUAGGUGAUCAGCCGCUGUUCUCAGUGGUGCACUCGCUCUGCGAUCAGGCCAGCAUCGGUUCGGGCGGCCGGAUAAAGGCCUUGGGAAUGUAGCUUCCUCCGGGGAGUCUUAUAGCCCUCGGUGUAAUGCGGCCAGCCUGGACCGAGGACCGCGCUUCGGCUAGGAUGCUGGCGUAAUGGUUGUAAGCGACCCGUCUUGAAACACGGACCAAGGAGUCUAACAUCUAUGCGAGUGUUUGGGUGUCAAACCCAUGCGCGGAAUGAAAGUGAACGGAGGUGAGAACCCUUAAGGGCGCAUCAUCGACCGAUCCAGAUGUCUUCGGAUGGAUUUGAGUAUGAGCAUAGCUGUUGGGACCCGAAAGAUGGUGAACUAUGCCUGAAUAGGGUGAAGCCAGAGGAAACUCUGGUGGAGGCUCGCAGCGGUUCUGACGUGCAAAUCGAUCGUCAAAUUUGGGUAUAGGGGCGAAAGACUAAUCGAACCAUCUAGUAGCUGGUUCCUG